CACAGAAAAAGGCAAACCUAUUGAAAAAUAGGGACGCAAAGUCACGGGUCUAAGGUAUUGUGCUACGAUGGCUGGGCUGCCUGA
Molecule: non-coding RNA, 84 nt
Filed under: Bacillus sp. (in: firmicutes)
Lineage: Bacteria; Bacillati; Bacillota; Bacilli; Caryophanales; Bacillaceae
Description: Bacillus sp. c-di-GMP sequence
Rfam family: c-di-GMP-I riboswitch aptamer
About the family: GEMM was predicted in a large-scale screen for bacterial structured RNA regulatory elements. Genes associated with GEMM are involved in a diverse array of functions, including chemotaxis regulation, signal transduction, secretion and chitin.
Source: RNAcentral